RNAcentral lists this transfer RNA (72 nucleotides) under Phrynosoma platyrhinos (Desert horned lizard). RNAcentral describes it as "tRNA-OTHER". It matches the Rfam family "tRNA". Rfam says of the family: Transfer RNA (tRNA) molecules are approximately 80 nucleotides in length. Their secondary structure includes four short double-helical elements and three loops (D, anti-codon, and T loops). Further hydrogen bonds mediate the characteristic L-shaped molecular structure. tRNAs have two regions of fundamental functional importance: the anti-codon, which is responsible for specific mRNA codon recognition, and the 3' end, to which the tRNAs corresponding amino acid is attached (by aminoacyl-tRNA synthetases). tRNAs cope with the degeneracy of the genetic code in two manners: having more than one tRNA (with a specific anti-codon) for a particular amino acid; and 'wobble' base-pairing, i.e. permitting non-standard base-pairing at the 3rd anti-codon position. The record is from RNAcentral. Lineage: Eukaryota; Metazoa; Chordata; Lepidosauria; Squamata; Phrynosomatidae.
GUCAGUGUGGCUUAGUGGUUUGAGUGUUGGACUACGACUCUGGAGACCAGGGUUCAAUUCCCUGCUCAGCCA